GUGGUGGUAGUUCAGUGGUAGAAUUCUUGCCCUCCAUGCAGAAGACCCAGGUUUGAUUCCUGGCCAAUGCA
Molecule: transfer RNA, 71 nt
Filed under: Loxodonta africana (African savanna elephant)
Lineage: Eukaryota; Metazoa; Chordata; Mammalia; Proboscidea; Elephantidae
Rfam family: tRNA
About the family: Transfer RNA (tRNA) molecules are approximately 80 nucleotides in length. Their secondary structure includes four short double-helical elements and three loops (D, anti-codon, and T loops). Further hydrogen bonds mediate the characteristic L-shaped molecular structure. tRNAs have two regions of fundamental functional importance: the anti-codon, which is responsible for specific mRNA codon recognition, and the 3' end, to which the tRNAs corresponding amino acid is attached (by aminoacyl-tRNA synthetases). tRNAs cope with the degeneracy of the genetic code in two manners: having more than one tRNA (with a specific anti-codon) for a particular amino acid; and 'wobble' base-pairing, i.e. permitting non-standard base-pairing at the 3rd anti-codon position.
Source: Rfam by way of RNAcentral